GACGAACGCUGGCGGCGUGCUUAACACAUGCAAGUCGAACGGAAAGGCCCUGCUUGCGGGGUACUCGAGUGGCGAACGGGUGAGUAACACGUGGGUGAUCUGCCCUGCACUUCGGGAUAAGCUUGGGAAACUGGGUCUAAUACCGGAUAGGAGCCAUCUUUAGUGUGGUGGUUGGAAAGUUUUUUCGGUGUAGGAUGAGCUCGCGGCCUAUCAGCUUGUUGGUGGGGUAAUGGCCUACCAAGGCGGCGACGGGUAGCCGGCCUGAGAGGGUGUACGGCCACAUUGGGACUGAGAUACGGCCCAGACUCCUACGGGAGGCAGCAGUGGGGAAUAUUGCACAAUGGGCGCAAGCCUGAUGCAGCGACGCCGCGUAGGGGAUGAAGGCCUUCGGGUUGUAAACUCCUUUCGCUAGGGACGAAGCUUUUUUGUGACGGUACCUAGAGAAGAAGCACCGGCUAACUACGUG
Molecule: ribosomal RNA, 466 nt
Filed under: uncultured bacterium
Lineage: Bacteria
Description: partial 16S ribosomal RNA
Rfam family: Bacterial small subunit ribosomal RNA
Source: RNAcentral